UACAGGGGGUGCAAACGUUGCUCGGAAUCAUUGGGCGUAAAGGGCGCGUAGGCGGCUCGGCACGUCCGUUGUGAAAUCGCCCGGCUCAACUGGGCGGGGUCGGCGGAUACGGCCGAGCUGGAGCAAGCUAGGGGGUAAUGGAAUUCCCGGUGUAGUGGUGGAAUGCGUAGAUAUCGGGAGGAACACCAGUGGCGAAGGCGGUUACCUGGAGCUUUGCUGACGCUGAUGCGCGAAAGCGUGGGGAGCGAUCCGG
This 253-nucleotide ribosomal RNA is filed under the name uncultured bacterium. Its description in RNAcentral is "partial 16S ribosomal RNA". It matches the Rfam family "Bacterial small subunit ribosomal RNA", at positions 524 to 776 of the family's 1533-position model. The record is from RNAcentral.